This 636-nucleotide long non-coding RNA is filed under the name Marmota monax (woodchuck). The record is from RNAcentral. Lineage: Eukaryota; Metazoa; Chordata; Mammalia; Rodentia; Sciuridae.
GCCAUCUAGGGGUUGACUUCAUGGGUUGGAAAAUGUGAUCUUUCCCCUCCCCUGGAGGUUGUUAGCAACCAGGUGAUGGGGAGUGCUACCUACCCAUUUCCUUCUCUUUGAUAAUCAGCUACCUGUCCUUUGCCCUGGUCUUGGCAUCAGCAAUGAGGAGCUGCUGUCAUGUUCUGUAGGAUCAACUUUCCCUUCUUGGCACAGUGUGCGCCCUGUGUGUUUAAACAGCUAAAGCAGCAAUAUACAAAUGCCAACAUAACUAUUAAACCACCAGACUGUCCUUUGUGCCCCCUUGCGUCACCCUCACGGUUUAAACCAAUCAUUUUUAAGUGCGUCAACCCCUUGAACUAACUAAUAAUCCUUUCCAGAUUCUUUCCCGCCACUUGAUAAGCUAAUCAUGUUUUAGAGGAGUUGUUUGAUUUUUCCCGUGGUGUGUGAUGAUUUGCUAAGAGAUGCUAUGAUGUAUGUAAAGUCCCUGCCUUCCCCAAGAGUGUAUAAAAACUGUUGCAAACUCCGGGCUGAGGGCUCUCAGUGUCACCAGUUGCUGUGUGUGGAGAGGACUGAGCUCGCUCGCAAUAAACGCCUCUUUGCUGCUUACAUCGAUCUUGGUCUCUGGUGGUCUUUUGGGGGUCCCGA